CAGCCGCCGCGGUAAUACGUAGGUGGCAAGCGUUGUCCGGAAUUAUUGGGCGUAAAGGGGGCGCAGGCGGGCAUGUAAGUCUUUCUUAAAAGUUCGGGGCUCAACCCCGUGAUGGGAAAGAAACUACAUGUCUUGAGUACAGGAGAGGAAAGCGGAAUUCCCAGUGUAGCGGUGAAAUGCGUAGAUAUUGGGAGGAACACCAGUGGCGAAGGCGGCUUUCUGGACUGCAACUGACGCUGAGGCUCGAAAGCCAGGGGAGCGAACGGGAUUAGAUACCCGAGUAGUCCCUGUCUCUUAUACA
This 301-nucleotide ribosomal RNA is filed under the name uncultured bacterium. RNAcentral describes it as "partial 16S ribosomal RNA". It matches the Rfam family "Bacterial small subunit ribosomal RNA", at positions 509 to 809 of the family's 1533-position model. The record is from RNAcentral.